CAGACAGAGGAAGUUGACAGGGACGAGCUCCACCCCGGGAAGAGGGCAGGAGCUGUGACCCACGGGCAGAAGUCACCAUGGCUGUGGGGUGAGGACAAAGAAGGGCGUGUGAGGCUGCAAAGGUUACCCUAGAGGCUUUGGGUUUUCUUCUAAAGGGAACCACAGAAGAGCUGGCUCGAAAAAGGAAGUUAUGCUUGGAGAAAAAUGUGGACAGGAGUGAGAUACGGAAAGUCAAAGCUCACGGACAGGCGUGGUAGCCUGUUGGAGGAGGGCAGAAGCUUGCAGUGACAGGACCAGGGGGUCUGCCAGUGUGUCACUUACAGGUGCCAAGGUGCUAACCAGGCGCUAGACAUUACAGAAUUUGAGGCAAUAGCUGGAGAAAAGGUGCUGGGAAGGGAUCAGGUCAGGCUUACUUUUAACCCCCCGACGGCAGCCUGCAGCCGUCCCCCUGCAGGGCAGGCUCGAGACGGAUCUGCAGCGAAGAAGGGAUCUUGGCAUCUCCUAGAGGAUAAUCCCAGGGAAGUGAAGGGACUUUCCCAGAAUCAUGUGGCUGGACAGUGCAGCCCGGGAGCAGAGUCUGUGAGCUGAUACCCUGCGUUUUCACAGGUGCCGCACAGGAGGCGUGUUUCCUCCUCCAUCUUUGUGGCGGUCGUCUGCUGUGACAUCGUUCCCCGUGCUCUGACCUGUUAUCGCUCUCGGCUGAACCCCUCAGGAGCUAUUUUCAACUGAGCUAAAAUCACACGACGUAAAAGUCAUCGGUGAAGUUUUAUUCAGGACCUUACUGAGGAUAGAGCCUGGGGACUCAGCCUCUCAGAUAGCUCUGAGGAACUGUUCCCAAGAGGUAAGGGAGGAGCCAGGAUAUAUAUGAACUUUUUUUGCUGGGAAAAACAUGUAGUCAAGCAUAAAAAGAUAAUUGCUAGUCACAAAGAACAGACAUCUCAAGUUGGUGAUUUUAGUGCUUUUCUAUGUAUGGAAACACACAAGAAUCUGGGGUCAUUGAAAUUUUUCCUUCAAUAUGCAUUUUAACUAUUUCGGGACCAGUAAUUCCAGAGCACAGAAUGCUGCCGUUUCUCUCCAUCCUGAAUUCCCCUCAGGGAGCACUGUUGGUGGGGACUGCGGUGGCUGACGGCUUGGUCCUUGCAGAACCAGAAUGGCAGGCAACGUUUUUUCUUUGCACUGCAUAAGAAGGCGGAGAAGGAGAAUGGGACAAGCUGUGAGCAGGGAUAUGAGCCACUCCACCGGGCUCUGCUGCUCCCCCAGCAGGCACCUGAGACUCCUGAUUCCUCAGGUUUGGCUUCAUAAUCCACUGAAGAUGAAAAGCCACAAUGGUAAUAAUUGACCUGACUCCCUUCACAGAGUAAAUAAAAUGAACUAAAGACCCCAGAGGGCCUUCCAAGCGCUCAAGGGCUCUGUAAGCAUGGUCCUCCCCACAUGAAAGACUGUAUAUGUAAUACUGUUUUAACUCCCAAAUAAUAUCCAACAAAUGAGUGUUAUUGGAUAUUGCAAGUGGAUACGCAGCAAAAGGAAUAGAUAAAUACAUUCAUGUGUGUUAUUUUCAUGGAAUACUAUGCAGCAGUCAAAAACAAUGAAAGAACUUUGGAGAAGUAGAUUAGCACUACCUAGUAAGGUUUCAGACAUAGUAUAUCCUGCACUUCAGCAUCCCCCCACCCCAGAUAUAAUCUCUGGAGAAAUCCUCUCACAUAUGCACAAAGGAAGGCAAAAUCAAGAAUGUUUUAUAAUUGCAUUGACUGAAAUAGGAAAAAAGUAGGGGAGAGGGAACCACCUAAAUGCACACUAAUAGAAGAACAAUGAUUUAUAUCACAUUCUUGCAGUAGAAUACACUACAUUAAGGGGAAUGAAUGAAUCUGAACCACCUACUUCAGUUUUUUUUCUUCUUUUUUCUUUUUACUGAAGUAUAGUUGAUUUACAAUGUUGUGUUAGUUUCAGGGGUACAGCAAAGUGGCUCAGUUAUACAUUCAC
Non-coding RNA from Vicugna pacos (alpaca), 1980 nucleotides. The record is from RefSeq and is a predicted model, not a curated record. Lineage: Eukaryota; Metazoa; Chordata; Mammalia; Artiodactyla; Camelidae.